CUUUCCCUACGGGAGGCAGCAGUGAGGAAUAUUGGUCAAUGGGCGGGAGCCUGAACCAGCCAAGUCGCGUGAGGGAAGACGGUCCUACGGAUUGUAAACCUCUUUUGCCGGGGAGCAACAGGGUCCUUGCGAGGGCCCGAUGAGAGUACCCGGAGAAAAAGCAUCGGCUAACUCCGUGCCAGCAGCCGCGGUAAUACGUAGGUGGCAAGCGUUGUCCGGAUUUAUUGGUCGUAAAGCGAGUGCAGGCGGGUC
RNAcentral lists this ribosomal RNA (252 nucleotides) under uncultured bacterium. Its description in RNAcentral is "partial 16S ribosomal RNA". It matches the Rfam family "Bacterial small subunit ribosomal RNA", at positions 333 to 581 of the family's 1533-position model. The record is from RNAcentral.